UUUCUUCUUCUUCUUCUGGAUUGAAUUUUAGUUUAGUUACAGUCUAUAAAGAAAAAUACAAAAACAUCUGUUUCGGUUGGAUGUUGAAUCCGGUUCACUUAUUUGUUCUCUAUAUUUUAAAGAUUUCAAAAUUCUCAUUCUUCACUGAUGAGCUCGGGUUUGGACUCGAAGGAAAAUGAACUGAGGUCUACUAACUGUUCAUGAGCUUCGAUUUCGUCGACUCUGUUUCUAUGGUUGUUCUGCUGCUUCGCCAUUGAAUCUCGAUGGGAUUUGGGGUCAAAGUGUCGAGUAUAUAGCUAUUGAAAGGAGUUUGAAAUUUCAGCUGUUGUCACUCCCAAUUCCAACGCCGAAUUUG
This 355-nucleotide long non-coding RNA is filed under the name Nicotiana benthamiana. Its description in RNAcentral is "long non-coding RNA (NBEN_LNC038748)". Lineage: Eukaryota; Viridiplantae; Streptophyta; Magnoliopsida; Solanales; Solanaceae. The record is from RNAcentral.